Molecule: transfer RNA, 103 nt
Filed under: Pseudozyma hubeiensis SY62
Lineage: Eukaryota; Fungi; Basidiomycota; Ustilaginomycetes; Ustilaginales; Ustilaginaceae
Rfam family: tRNA
About the family: Transfer RNA (tRNA) molecules are approximately 80 nucleotides in length. Their secondary structure includes four short double-helical elements and three loops (D, anti-codon, and T loops). Further hydrogen bonds mediate the characteristic L-shaped molecular structure. tRNAs have two regions of fundamental functional importance: the anti-codon, which is responsible for specific mRNA codon recognition, and the 3' end, to which the tRNAs corresponding amino acid is attached (by aminoacyl-tRNA synthetases). tRNAs cope with the degeneracy of the genetic code in two manners: having more than one tRNA (with a specific anti-codon) for a particular amino acid; and 'wobble' base-pairing, i.e. permitting non-standard base-pairing at the 3rd anti-codon position.
Source: Rfam by way of RNAcentral
GGUUUCUUGGCGCAGUUGGUUAGCGCGUCUCCUUAACAAUUCUGAUCAUUCAGAUCGUUAGGGCUUACGGAGGAGGUCGCCGGUUCGAACCCGGCAGAAAUCA